Molecule: ribosomal RNA, 1345 nt
Filed under: uncultured bacterium
Lineage: Bacteria
Description: bacterial SSU rRNA
Rfam family: Bacterial small subunit ribosomal RNA
Source: RNAcentral
UGGCGGUGUGCCUAAUACAUGCAAGUCGAACGGUGACGAUUUUGUAGCAAUACGAAUGAAAUCAUAGUGGCGAACGGGUGAGUAACGCGUUGGUGAUCUGCCUCGAAGUGUGGAAUAACUUCCCGAAAGGGUAGCUAAUACCGCAUAGUCUCUCAAGGUUUAGAAAAUUGAGAGUAAAGGAUUUAUUCGCUUCGAGAGGAGCCUGCGUCCCAUCAGCUAGUUGGUAGGGUAAUAGCCUACCAAGGCAAUGACGGGUAGGGGACCUGAGAGGGUGGCCCCCCACAAUGGAACUGAAACACGGUCCAUACACCUACGGGUGGCAGCAGUAGGGAAUAUUAGAAAUGGGCGAAAGCCUGAUCUAGCAACACCGCGUGUGCGAUGAAGGCCUUCGGGUUGUAAAGCACUUUUUGGAGGGAAUAGGAAGGAAGGUACCUCCAGAAUAAGUCUCGGCUAACUACGUGCCAGCAGCCGCGGUAACACGUAGGAGGCAAACGUUAUCCGGAUUCACUGGGCGUAAAGCGCGUGUAGGUGGUUCUGUAAGUAGGGCGUGAAAGCUCCCGGCUCAACUGGGAGAGGCCGUACUAAACUGCAGAGCUAGAGGAUGGUAGAGGGAGGUGGAAUUCCAGGUGUAGUGGUGAAAUGCGCAGAUAUCUGGAGGAACACCAGUGGCGAAGGCGGCCUCCUGGACCAUUCCUGACACUCAGACGCGAAAGCUAGGGUAGCAAACGAAAGUCUUGACUCCGGUAGUCCUAGCCCUNNNCGACCUAAUAAGGCGUCGGCGGUUUAAUUCACCCGUCGGUGUCCGGAGCUAACCCGAUAAGUCUGCCGCCUGAGGACUCCGGCCGCAAGGCUAAAAACUCAAAGGAAUUGACGGGUCCCCGCACAAGCAGCGGAGCGUGUGGUUUAAUUCGAUGCUCCGCGAAGAACCUUACCUGGGUUUGACAUAACAGUGGUAGAGAAGUGAAAACGGAUCGACCCUUCGGGGGGCUGUUACAGGUGUUGCAUGCCUGUCGUCAGCUCGUGUCGUGAGAUGUUCGGUUAAGUCCGCUAACGAGCGCAACCCGCGCUGUGUGUUACAAGUGUCACACAGUACCGCCGGUAUUAAGUCGGAGGAAGGUGCGGAUGACGUCAAGUCAGCAUGACCUUUAUAUCCAGGGCUACACACACGCUACAAUGGUCAGAACAAUAGGUUGCCAAGCCGCAAGGCGGAGCCAAUCCUCCAAAUCUGGCCUCAGUUCAGAUUGCAGGCUGCAACUCGCCUGCAUGAAGUCGGAGUUGCUAGUAACCGCAGGUCAGCAUACUGCGGUGAAUACGUUCCCGGGGAUUGCACACACCGCCCGUCAAG